UGCAAGUCGAACGGUCUUUCUAUGGAAGCUUGCUUCCACUGAGAAGAUAGUGGCGAACGGGUGAGUAACACGUGGGUAACCCUGCCCAUAAGAGGGGGAUAACAUCCGGAAACGGGUGCUAAUACCGCAUAGUUUUCUUGAUCGCAUGAUUGAGAAAGGAAAGAUGGCCUUUGUGCUGUCGCUUAUGGAUGGACCCGCGGCGUAUUAGUUAGUUGGUGAGGUAACGGCUCACCAAGACGAUGAUACGUAGCCGACCUGAGAGGGUGAUCGGCCACAUUGGGACUGAGACACGGCCCAAACUCCUACGGGAGGCAGCAGUAGGGAAUCUUCCGCAAUGGACGAAAGUCUGACGGAGCAACGCCGCGUGAGUGAAGAAAGGUUUUCGGAUCGUAAAACUCUGUUGUCAGAGAAGAACAAGUUGGAGAGUAACUGCUCCAGCCUUGACGGUAUCUGACCAGAAAGCCACGGCUAACUACGUGCCAGCAGCGGC
RNAcentral lists this ribosomal RNA (490 nucleotides) under uncultured bacterium. Its description in RNAcentral is "bacterial SSU rRNA". It matches the Rfam family "Bacterial small subunit ribosomal RNA", at positions 56 to 518 of the family's 1533-position model. The record is from RNAcentral.